AUUGAACGCUGGCGGUAUGCUUAACACAUGCAAGUCGAACGAUGAGAAAGAGCUUGCUCCUUCGAUUAGUGGCGGACGGGUGCGUAACGCGUAGGAAUCUACCUAUUAGUGGGGGACAACUUAGGGAAACUUAAGCUAAUACCGCAUACGCCCUACGGGGGAAAGAAGGGGAUCGCAAGACCUUUUGCUAAUAGAUGAGCCUGCGUAGGAUUAGCUAGUUGGUGGGGUAAAAGCUCACCAAGGCGACGAUCCUUAACUGGUUUGAGAGAAUGAUCAGUCACACUGGAACUGAGACACGGUCCAGACUCCUACGGGAGGCAGCAGUGGGGAAUAUUGGACAAUGGGCGAAAGCCUGAUCCAGCAAUACCGCGUGUGUGAAGAAGGCCUUAGGGUUGUAAAGCACUUUCAAUUGGAAGGAAAACCUCGAAGCUAAUACCUUCGAGUUUGACAUUACCUUUAGAAGAAGCACCGGCUAACUCCGUGCCAGCCGCCGCGGUAA
This 499-nucleotide ribosomal RNA is filed under the name uncultured bacterium. Its description in RNAcentral is "partial 16S ribosomal RNA". It matches the Rfam family "Bacterial small subunit ribosomal RNA", at positions 30 to 523 of the family's 1533-position model. The record is from RNAcentral.